This 441-nucleotide ribosomal RNA is filed under the name Grandidierella japonica. RNAcentral's name for it is "partial 16S ribosomal RNA". The stretch from base 296 to 441 matches the Rfam family "Bacterial large subunit ribosomal RNA", at positions 2473 to 2619 of the family's 2925-position model. The record is from RNAcentral. Lineage: Eukaryota; Metazoa; Arthropoda; Malacostraca; Amphipoda; Corophiidae.
AAGGUAGCAUAAUAAUUUGUUUUUUAAUUGAAGGCUGGCAUGAAAGGCUUAAUAGUAAAAUAUUUUUGAGGGCUAUAGAUUGAAAUUGAAGUUUGAGUAAAAAUGCUUUGAUUUAUACAAAAGACGAUAAGACCCUAAAAGCUUUAUUUUAAAGUUUUGAGACAGCGAUUAAUAUUUUUGUUUUUCUUAUUUUAUAUUUUUAACUGGGGUAGUUUCUUUGUUUUUAUAAAAUAAAAUUAGGCUUGUCAGGUUUUGUUUUCCUUAAGAUUAGGGGGCUUGUUUUAGUUACUUUAGGGAUAACAGCAUAAUGUUUUUAGAGAGCCCAGAUCGAUAAAAAAGUUUGUGACCUCGAUGUUGAAUUAAAAAGUCUAGCUAGGGCAGUACUUAGUUAAGAUGGUUUGUUCAACCAUUAAAAUUUUACAUGAUCUGAGUUCAAACCGG